CAUAAGUGCAAUCAUAAGUUUCCAUGCCAAUUUUAAUUGUCCGAUUUAUUUGAUUUUUCUAUAAUUAGUAUUUUUAGUGUUGUGAGAUGAUAAAACAUGAAUAGUACUUUAUGCGUGACUUAUGUUUUCAAAUUUUUUUAAAAAAUUUUUAAAUAAAAUGGACGAUAAAAUUAGGCACGAAAAAUCAUGAUUGCACUUAAA
Oryza meridionalis is the source of this 201-nucleotide non-coding RNA. The record is from Rfam. Lineage: Eukaryota; Viridiplantae; Streptophyta; Magnoliopsida; Poales; Poaceae.